Molecule: ribosomal RNA, 744 nt
Filed under: Triticum aestivum (bread wheat)
Lineage: Eukaryota; Viridiplantae; Streptophyta; Magnoliopsida; Poales; Poaceae
Description: partial small subunit ribosomal RNA
Source: RNAcentral
AUGACCAUGAUUUCUGAAGAUGGAGAUAUCUCAGCUCUGCUCUCUGAACCAAAUCUAGAUGAAGAGCAGGCUGUGACUCCCGGAUCCGAUGAUUUCUUGCCUGCUAUUUUGGAAUCAAUUAAAUCAAAUGAAAAGGAAGUCGAACUUUCACCUGAGGAGGCAGCUUGGGCUGAUUCGUGUUUUGUGCAGACUUCUGAACUGUCAGAUGAAGACUGGGGUGCAUUGAAGCAAGCCUUGCUUGAUUCCCUUCAAGAGCCAACGGAAGGUUCACGUGAUACCACUGAGGUCAUGCUUGACCAAGGCACCCAUGUACUUUCAGAGGCGGAAUCCCACACUCUGCUUGUCGAAAAAGAUACUCAGGAUGAUAAUGUAGACAUGGAGCAACAAGGCAAUAGCGAUGAUGACAAGGAUGCUGAAGUUGGGGACGUUACAAAUGUAAUUAGAGGUGCAGAUGAGCAUGGCAGGCAAAUGGACGGAUACACUGCAGAUGAGCUGGUCUCAUCUGAAGUCAUCGAGCAGGCAGAGUCGAGGGAUUCUAUCUUCAAGGUUUGGGAUCUAGACGUGUCCUUCUCCGAGGAUGAGAGCGAGCUCGAACUCAUCAAGGACCUCAAGAAACUCCUCAAGGGCAAGCCUCAGGAUGCUACGUAUCCGCCUCCUGGUGACGCAGCCAAGGCUCUGAGCGAGAUAAACGUUGAUGAACUUGUGGCGGGCUUGAGUAACCUGUCGCUGCAGCGAAACCAGUAG